CUCUUGUCUGUUAUAAUACCAGUGAAUGUAUCUUAACUUCCCUGGCUUCGCUUUCAGACUACAUUGAAGUCCCUACUAUUAUCCUAGUUUGCUUAGUUAUGUACCUGACAUGUAGACUGGCAAAGUAGUGAGACAUUU
Molecule: small nucleolar RNA, 138 nt
Organism: Plutella xylostella (diamondback moth)
Lineage: Eukaryota; Metazoa; Arthropoda; Insecta; Lepidoptera; Plutellidae
Product: small nucleolar RNA psi28S-1192
Source: RefSeq, a predicted model, not a curated record